RNAcentral lists this long non-coding RNA (1043 nucleotides) under Heterocephalus glaber (naked mole-rat). Its description in RNAcentral is "lncRNA (ENSHGLG00100048918.1)". The record is from RNAcentral. Lineage: Eukaryota; Metazoa; Chordata; Mammalia; Rodentia; Bathyergidae.
UGGCACCUCGUGGAGAGAGGUCAGGCUCACACUCAGGCUUCACCAGAGCAAGGGACAACAGAAGCUUCGGAGCGGGCAAAUCCGAGUUCACAGCCCUGCUUCCAGUACUUCCCAGCUGUGUGACCUUGGGAGAAUAGCGCCAACGACCCUCUCCUGAUUUAGUGCGAGAAAACCCGCAAGCAUCUAUUCCGUGCAAUAACAGAGAGGAUAGCCGUCACCAUGGCAACGGACAGCUCGGGAAGACAACCGCCCAGGCUCUCGGACUUCUCCGGGCGCCGAUUUUCCUCAGGAUAUGGCAACGAUUUCCAGGAGGCUCGCACACGACUUGUUUCAAUUAUUCUUCCAAGAACCGCCUUUCAUGAACAGACCUGGCUGGGGAUAGGAACUCAGGGCUCCAGUAAAGUAGAAUUAAAAAAAAAAAAUCAGUUCUCCUGAAAGCAGUCUAACAGCUCUCCCUUUCCCGUAACUGCUGGCCUCCCCCGGUACUGAGAAGGUAGACGGUCUCAUUCCUGUAAGCGAAGUUUUGUGACCCCUGAGGAGCCAUAUGCUCUGUAAACAACUAUGUUCUGUAAACAAGUUUGUGACACUCUGUUCCCAUGUGAUUCAUGAGACACUGCCUGUUUACGAGGCUAAAUUACUAAGCUGUCUGCCCUUGCCCUGUUCCGCUAGACUCACUUACUGUCACUAGGAAGACCAGCCCCCCUUCGACUAAAUGUAUAAAAACUAGCACUUUUCUUUGUUCAAUCGCUCAGUCUUUUGGAGAGGAGUCCAACUGAGCCGAGCUGCACCGAUAAAUACUCCUGACUUCCGUCUGGUCUUUCUGGUCCUUUCGGAAUUCUCCAACGCCAGAGUCACUGCAAAGGACAUGGACAUUCUUAGGAAUACUCUCAGCUUGUUAAUUUAUCCGAGGAAAUUCUUUUGCCUUUAUUUAUUGAUUUUAAAUUUUUAUUUUAUUUUAAGACAGAGCCUCACUAUGUAGCCCAGGCUGGGCUCAAACUUGCGAUCUUCCUGCCUCAGCCUCCGAGUGCUGGAAUUAAAGGCGC